RNAcentral lists this ribosomal RNA (434 nucleotides) under uncultured Clostridium sp. RNAcentral describes it as "partial 16S ribosomal RNA". It matches the Rfam family "Bacterial small subunit ribosomal RNA", at positions 341 to 792 of the family's 1533-position model. The record is from RNAcentral. Lineage: Bacteria; Bacillati; Bacillota; Clostridia; Eubacteriales; Clostridiaceae.
ACGGGAGGCAGCAGUAGGGAAUAUUGCACAAUGGGGGAAACCCUGAUGCAGCGACGCCGCGUGAGUGAUGAAGUAUUUCGGUACGUAAAGCUCUAUCAGCAGGGAAGAUAAUGACGGUACCUGACUAAGAAGCCCCGGCUAACUACGUGCCAGCAGCCGCGGUAAUACGUAGGGGGCAAGCGUUAUCCGGAUUUACUGGGUGUAAAGGGAGCGUAGACGGCUUUGCAAGUCUGAAGUGAAAGCUCGGGGCUCAACUCCGGAACUGCUUUGGAAACUGUAGAGCUAGAGUGCAGGAGAGGUAAGUGGAAUUCCUAGUGUAGCGGUGAAAUGCGUAGAUAUUAGGAGGAACACCAGUGGCGAAGGCGGCUUACUGGACUGUAACUGACGUUGAGGCUCGAAAGCGUGGGGAGCAAACAGGAUUAGAUACCCUGGUA